Molecule: non-coding RNA, 29 nt
Filed under: Mus musculus (house mouse)
Lineage: Eukaryota; Metazoa; Chordata; Mammalia; Rodentia; Muridae
Source: RNAcentral
UGAUAGAAUACUGUCUUUGGACUACACAC